GUUUCCUUGGUGUAGUGGUUAUCACGUCCGCCUAACACGCGGGAGGAGACGAGUUCGAUCCUCGUAGGAAACA
This is a non-coding RNA of Vittaforma corneae ATCC 50505, 73 nucleotides long. Lineage: Eukaryota; Fungi; Microsporidia; Nosematidae. The record is from the annotation of a RefSeq genome assembly.